This 72-nucleotide transfer RNA is filed under the name Stereum hirsutum FP-91666 SS1. RNAcentral's name for it is "tRNA-Ser (ACT) (tRNA-Ser-ACT-2-1)". It matches the Rfam family "tRNA". Rfam says of the family: Transfer RNA (tRNA) molecules are approximately 80 nucleotides in length. Their secondary structure includes four short double-helical elements and three loops (D, anti-codon, and T loops). Lineage: Eukaryota; Fungi; Basidiomycota; Agaricomycetes; Russulales; Stereaceae. The record is from RNAcentral.
CCUCCGAUAGCUCAAGUGGUAGAGCGCUGGGCGACUAGCCCAGAGAUGCUGGUUCGAUUCCAGCUCGGAGGA